GAUGAACGCUGGCGGCGUGCUUAACACAUGCAAGUCGAACGGAAAGGCUCCUGCUUGCAGGGGUACUCGAGUGGCGAACGGGUGAGUAACACGUGGGUGAUCUGCCUUGCACUUCGGGAUAAGCCUGGGAAACUGGGUCUAAUACCGGAUAGGACCACAUUUUGGAUGGUGUGGUGGAAAGUUUUUCGGUGUGGGAUGAGCUCGCGGCCUAUCAGCUUGUUGGUGGGGUAAUGGCCUACCAAGGCGUCGACGGGUAGCCGGCCUGAGAGGGUGUACGGCCACAUUGGGACUGAGAUACGGCCCAGACUCCUACGGGAGGCAGCAGUGGGGAAUAUUGCACAAUGGGCGCAAGCCUGAUGCAGCGACGCCGCGUGGGGGAUGACGGCCUUCGGGUUGUAAACUCCUUUCGCUAGGGACGAAGCGCAAGUGACGGUACCUGGAGAAGAAGCACCGGCUAACUACGUG
This 465-nucleotide ribosomal RNA is filed under the name uncultured bacterium. RNAcentral's name for it is "partial 16S ribosomal RNA". It matches the Rfam family "Bacterial small subunit ribosomal RNA", at positions 28 to 507 of the family's 1533-position model. The record is from RNAcentral.